UACAGGGGGGGCAAGCGUUGUUCGGAAUUACUGGGCGUAAAGGGCUCGUAGGUGGCCAACUAAGUCAGACGUGAAAUCCCUCAGCUUAACUGGGGAACUGCGUCUGAUACUGGAUGGCUUGAGUUUGGGAGAGGGAUGCGGAAUUCCAGGUGUAGCGGUGAAAUGCGUAGAUAUCUGGAGGAACACCGGUGGCGAAGGCGGCAUCCUGGACGGAUACUGACGCUGAGGCGCGAAAGCCAGGGGAGCAAACGGG
This 253-nucleotide ribosomal RNA is filed under the name uncultured bacterium. Its description in RNAcentral is "partial 16S ribosomal RNA". It matches the Rfam family "Bacterial small subunit ribosomal RNA", at positions 524 to 776 of the family's 1533-position model. The record is from RNAcentral.